UGACGACUUAGUGUUGGCUAUGAUUGGAC
RNAcentral lists this small RNA (29 nucleotides) under Bombyx mori (domestic silkworm). RNAcentral's name for it is "ovarian small RNA-31714". The record is from RNAcentral. Lineage: Eukaryota; Metazoa; Arthropoda; Insecta; Lepidoptera; Bombycidae.